Molecule: ribosomal RNA, 484 nt
Filed under: uncultured bacterium
Lineage: Bacteria
Description: partial 16S ribosomal RNA
Rfam family: Bacterial small subunit ribosomal RNA
Source: RNAcentral
AUUGAACGCUGGCGGCAGGCCUAACACAUGCAAGUCGAGCGGAUGAAGGGAGCUUGCUCCUGGAUUCAGCGGCGGACGGGUGAGUAAUGCCUAGGAAUCUGCCUGGUAGUGGGGGAUAACGUCCGGAAACGGGCGCUAAUACCGCAUACGUCCUGAGGGAGAAAGUGGGGGAUCUUCGGACCUCACGCUAUCAGAUGAGCCUAGGUCGGAUUAGCUAGUUGGUGGGGUAAAGGCCUACCAAGGCGACGAUCCGUAACUGGUCUGAGAGGAUGAUCAGUCACACUGGAAGUGAGACACGGUCCAGACUCCUACGGGAGGCAGCAGUGGGGAAUAUUGGACAAAGGGCGAAAGCCUGAUCCAGCCAUGCCGCGUGUGUGAAGAAGGUCUUCGGAUUGUAAAGCACUUUAAGUUGGGAGGAAGGGCAGUAAGUUAAUACCUUGCUGUUUUGACGGUACCAACAGAAUAAGCACCGGCUAACUUCGUG